UACGGAGGGUGCAAGCGUUAUCCGGAUUUAUUGGGUUUAAAGGGUCCGUAGGCGGACUGAUAAGUCAGUGGUGAAAUCCGACAGCUUAACUGUCGAACUGCCAUUGAUACUGUUAGUCUUGAGUAAGGUUGAAGUGGCUGGAAUAAGUAGUGUAGCGGUGAAAUGCAUAGAUAUUACUUAGAACACCAAUUGCGAAGGCAGGUCACUAAGUCUUAACUGACGCUGAUGGACGAAAGCGUGGGGAGCGAACAGGAUUAGAUACCCUGGUAGUCCACGCCGUAAACGAUGAUUACUCGUUUUUGGGUUUUAGGAUUCAGAGACUAAGCGAAAGUGAUAAGUAAUCCACCUGGGGAGUACGUUCGCAAGAAUG
Molecule: ribosomal RNA, 370 nt
Filed under: uncultured prokaryote
Description: bacterial SSU rRNA
Rfam family: Bacterial small subunit ribosomal RNA
Source: RNAcentral